Non-coding RNA from Xyrichtys novacula (pearly razorfish), 315 nucleotides. Lineage: Eukaryota; Metazoa; Chordata; Actinopteri; Labriformes; Labridae. The record is from the annotation of a GenBank genome assembly.
GCCCGAUGAUGAGACCAAGGCGAAUACGAGCUUACUGAAUGAGCGCUGGGUUCUCCUUGCCCUAACUGACAGGUAAUCUUGGCAGUGCAGGGGAGGAUUCCUGCUCUGCUGUAAGGGCCUGCCUACAGUGACUUAGCCUGAUCCAAAUUGUUCCUCUGGAGUCACAGAGGUGUAAUGCUGGGAUGGGGCUAACAGUGUGCAUCAGUGGUUGUGUGCGUGAAUGUGUGUAUGUUUGUUUGUUAGAGGCAAGGAGUUCAACCAGCUUGCUUCGCUGUUCAGUCAGCCAUGAGUUGCUUCUUUGGUAAUCUGAGGGCA